Molecule: ribosomal RNA, 253 nt
Filed under: uncultured bacterium
Lineage: Bacteria
Description: partial 16S ribosomal RNA
Rfam family: Bacterial small subunit ribosomal RNA
Source: RNAcentral
UACGUAGGGCGCAAGCGUUAUCCGGAAUUAUUGGGCGUAAAGAGCUCGUAGGCGGUUUGUCGCGUCUGCCGUGAAAGUCCGGGGCUCAACUCCGGAUCUGCGGUGGGUACGGGCAGACUAGAGUGAUGUAGGGGAGACUGGAAUUCCUGGUGUAGCGGUGAAAUGCGCAGAUAUCAGGAGGAACACCGGUGGCGAAGGCGGGUCUCUGGGCCAUAACUGACGCUGAGGAGCGAAAGCGUGGGGAGCGAACAGG